AACCGCCGUAGACGGAACCGCACGUACGGUGGUGUGAGGGGAUAUGAGGCUAGGCGCCUCCCCCUAUCUCAAU
Molecule: unclassified non-coding RNA, 73 nt
Filed under: Fictibacillus enclensis
Lineage: Bacteria; Bacillati; Bacillota; Bacilli; Caryophanales; Fictibacillaceae
Source: RNAcentral